GGGCUCGUAGUUAAGUGGUAAAACGAUGCAUUCGCAUUGCAUAGGCGAGGGUUCGAUUCCCUCCGAGUCCA
This 71-nucleotide transfer RNA is filed under the name Candidatus Levybacteria bacterium RBG_13_35_9. RNAcentral's name for it is "tRNA-Ala". It matches the Rfam family "tRNA". Rfam says of the family: Transfer RNA (tRNA) molecules are approximately 80 nucleotides in length. Lineage: Bacteria; Candidatus Levyibacteriota. The record is from RNAcentral.